UCGGGAAUUUUGGGCAAUGGGCGCAAGCCUGAUCCAGCCAUGCCGCGUGAGUGAUGAAGGCCUUAGGGGUGUAAAGCUCUUUUGCCGGGGACGAUAAUGACGGUACCCGGAGAAUAAGUCCCGGCUAACUUCGUUCCAGCAGCCGCGGUAAUACGAAGGGGACUAGCGUUGUUCGGAAUCACUGGGCGUAAAGCGCACGUAGGCGGAUUUGUGAGUCAGGGGUGAAAUCCCGGGGCUCAACCUCGGAACUGCCUUUGAUACUGCGAAUCUUGAGUCCGAUAGAGGUGGGUGGAAUUCCUAGUGUAGAGGUGAAAUUCGUAGAUAUUAGGAAGAACACCGGUGGCGAAGGCGGCCCACUGGAUCGGUACUGACGCUGAGGUGCGAAAGCGUGGGGAGCAAAC
Molecule: ribosomal RNA, 401 nt
Filed under: uncultured bacterium
Lineage: Bacteria
Description: bacterial SSU rRNA
Rfam family: Bacterial small subunit ribosomal RNA
Source: RNAcentral